UCUCCUGUGGCUUAGUUGGCAAUAGCUUCAUGCUUAUAACGUGAUGGUCGCGGGUUCGAUCCCCGCCAGGAGAA
This 74-nucleotide transfer RNA is filed under the name Rhodotorula toruloides. RNAcentral's name for it is "tRNA-Ile (TAT) cove score=62.86". It matches the Rfam family "tRNA". Rfam says of the family: Transfer RNA (tRNA) molecules are approximately 80 nucleotides in length. Their secondary structure includes four short double-helical elements and three loops (D, anti-codon, and T loops). The record is from RNAcentral. Lineage: Eukaryota; Fungi; Basidiomycota; Microbotryomycetes; Sporidiobolales; Sporidiobolaceae. RNAcentral also lists the same sequence under 2 other names.